CUUGCAGAAACAGAGAACAACUAUUAUCAUCUUGUCGAAACCCAUGCUUGUGUGACUUCUAUUCCAUCUUCUGGCUUUAAUCACCUUAUUUCUUUACCUAUGACUGCAAAAACAUACAUCAAUUGCUGGAAAAGCUUGCCAAAGACAAAAAGUUGGGAUGAUCGGUUGAGAUGAAGAAUGGCAAAUAGUGGAGUUUUCUGCAAGACUUCUGAGGACCGGCUGUAGGUAAGAAAGGAAAUGUAAUGUCUCCCUUGAGGCAAAAGCUGAAGCAUGUGCACAGCAGCGGCGGUGUCUAGGGAGCAUGUGCCCCAUGUCAGGAGCUGGAGGGAGCUCACGGUGCCCUUCACCUAGCUGGUAUUUAGAGGAUGUGCCCAGAAGAUGAAUGCACUGCCAAGGCCUGCCUAAGCCCUGAUGAUGACUGAGUGGUUGCUCUGCUGAGACUUCUGCCUCGGACUGACCGUCUCUGUUUUCUGUUGCUGUCCAUUUGAUGGCUCCCAGUCCAAGUUCUCUGGGUCAGAACAUCUCAUUGUUGUGUGUGGUAGAAGUCUUGGUCAAUAAACCUAAGUUUGUAAGAUCUAUGGUAAUGCAAAUAAAUAAAUAAGAAUACAUUACUGUUCUGGUUCUGUU
This is a long non-coding RNA of Oxyura jamaicensis (ruddy duck), 627 nucleotides long. RefSeq lists it as uncharacterized. The record is from RefSeq and is a predicted model, not a curated record. The transcript has 4 exons. Lineage: Eukaryota; Metazoa; Chordata; Aves; Anseriformes; Anatidae.